RNAcentral lists this ribosomal RNA (1141 nucleotides) under Campylobacter jejuni. RNAcentral's name for it is "partial 23S ribosomal RNA". It matches the Rfam family "Bacterial large subunit ribosomal RNA", at positions 1197 to 2322 of the family's 2925-position model. Lineage: Bacteria; Pseudomonadati; Campylobacterota; Epsilonproteobacteria; Campylobacterales; Campylobacteraceae. The record is from RNAcentral.
AAGUAGUUUAAGUUGUGUGCAAGUGGUAGGAGAGCGUUCUAUUUGCGUCGAAGGUAUACCGGUAAGGAGUGCUGGAGCGAAUAGAAGUGAGCAUGCAGGCAUGAGUAGCGAUAAUUAAUGUGAGAAUCAUUAACGCCGUAAACCCAAGGUUUCCUACGCGAUGCUCGUCAUCGUAGGGUUAGUCGGGUCCUAAGUCGAGUCCGAAAGGGGUAGACGAUGGCAAAUUGGUUAAUAUUCCAAUACCAACAUUAGUGUGCGAUGGAAGGACGCUUAGGGCUAAGGGGGCUAGCGGAUGGAAGUGCUAGUCUAAGGUCGUAGGAGGUUAUACAGGCAAAUCCGUAUAACAAUACUCCGAGAACUGAAAGGCUUUUUGAAGUCUUCGGAUGGAUAGAAGAACCCCUGAUGCCGUCGAGCCAAGAAAAGUUUCUAAGUUUAGCUAAUGUUGCCCGUACCGUAAACCGACACAGGUGGGUGGGAUGAGUAUUCUAAGGCGCGUGGAAGAACUCUCUUUAAGGAACUCUGCAAAAUAGCACCGUAUCUUCGGUAUAAGGUGUGGUUAGCUUCGUACUAGGAUUUACUCCGAAAGCGAAGAAACUUACAACAAAGAGUCCCUCCCGACUGUUUACCAAAAACACAGCACUCUGCUAACUCGUAAGAGGAUGUAUAGGGUGUGACGCCUGCCCGGUGCUCGAAGGUUAAUUGAUGGGGUUAGCAUUAGCGAAGCUCUUGAUCGAAGCCCGAGUAAACGGCGGCCGUAACUAUAACGGUCCUAAGGUAGCGAAAUUCCUUGUCGGUUAAAUACCGACCUGCAUGAAUGGCGUAACGAGAUGGGAGCUGUCUCAAAGAGGGAUCCAGUGAAAUUGUAGUGGAGGUGAAAAUUCCUCCUACCCGCGGCAAGACGGAAAGACCCCGUGGACCUUUACUACAGCUUGACACUGCUACUUGGAUAAGAAUGUGCAGGAUAGGUGGGAGGCUUUGAGUAUAUGACGCCAGUUGUAUAUGAGCCAUUGUUGAGAUACCACUCUUUCUUAUUUGGGUAGCUAACCAGCUUGAGUUAUCCUCAAGUGGGACAAUGUCUGGUGGGUAGUUUGACUGGGGCGGUCGCCUCCCAAAUAAUAACGGAGGCUUACAAAGGUUGGCU